Molecule: microRNA precursor, 135 nt
Filed under: Medicago truncatula (barrel medic)
Lineage: Eukaryota; Viridiplantae; Streptophyta; Magnoliopsida; Fabales; Fabaceae
Description: miRNA gene35455
Rfam family: MIR1120/MIR1122 microRNA precursor family
Source: RNAcentral
UUAAUACUCCCUCCAUAACAAAAUAUAAGCAACAAUGAGUCAACGAAAGUUGAUGUAUCUGGUCUAAAUUUUACACCAAAUACAUCAAUCUUCUGACUCAUUUUUGCUUAUAUUUUGUUACGGAGGGAGUAUUUU